Molecule: ribosomal RNA, 553 nt
Filed under: Verticillium sp. MAB-2010a
Lineage: Eukaryota; Fungi; Ascomycota; Sordariomycetes; Glomerellales; Plectosphaerellaceae
Description: eukaryotic LSU rRNA
Rfam family: 5.8S ribosomal RNA (bases 182-335)
Source: RNAcentral
AACAAGGUCUCCGUUGGUGAACCAGCGGAGGGAUCAUUACCGAGUACUAUAACUCAUAACCCUUUGUGAACCUUCAUACCUGUUGCUUCGGCGGCGCGCCUCUCGGGGCGUGCCCGCCGGCAUUAUCAGAAUCUCUGUUCGAACCCGACGAUACUUCUGAGUGUUCUAAGCGAACUGUUAAAACUUUCAACAACGGAUCUCUUGGCUCCAGCAUCGAUGAAGAACGCAGCGAAACGCGAUAUGUAAUGUGAAUUGCAGAAUUCAGUGAAUCAUCGAAUCUUUGAACGCACAUGGCGCCUUCCAGUAUCCUGGGAGGCAUGCCUGUCCGAGCGUCGUUUCAACCCUCGAGCCCCCGUGGCCCGGCGUUGGGGACCUGCCCAGGCAGUCCCCGAAAACCAGUGGCGGACCCGACGGGCCCUUCCUUUGCGUAGUAACAUCUGCCUCGCAUCGGGAGCCCCCGGGCUAUCCGGCCUCUAAACCCCCCUCAAGCCCGCUCCGGCGGCACCAAGGUUGACCUCGGAUCAGGUAGGAAUACCCGCUGAACUUAAGCAUA